CGCGUAGGCGGUCUGCUAAGUCCGAUGUUAAAGACCGGGGCUCAACCCCGGCACGGCGUUGGAUACUGGCAGGCUGGACGGCUGGAGAGGCGAGUGGAGUUACCAGUGUAGCGGUGGAAUGCGUAGAUACUGGUAGGAACACCCAUGGCGAAGGCAGCUUGCUGGACAGCACGUGACGCUGAGGCGCGAAAGUGUGGGGAGCAAACC
RNAcentral lists this ribosomal RNA (207 nucleotides) under uncultured bacterium. Its description in RNAcentral is "partial 16S ribosomal RNA". It matches the Rfam family "Bacterial small subunit ribosomal RNA", at positions 568 to 774 of the family's 1533-position model. The record is from RNAcentral.